This 445-nucleotide ribosomal RNA is filed under the name uncultured bacterium. RNAcentral's name for it is "partial 16S ribosomal RNA". It matches the Rfam family "Bacterial small subunit ribosomal RNA", at positions 354 to 796 of the family's 1533-position model. The record is from RNAcentral.
GUAGGGAAUAUUGGGCAAUGGAUGCAAGUCUGACCCAGCCAUCCCGCGUGCCGGAAGAAGGCCCUCAGGGUUGUAAACGGCUUUUGACGGUGAAGAAUCGACAGGAUGCGUCCUGUUUUGACGGUAGCCGUUGAAUAAGCACCGGCUAACUCCGUGCCAGCAGCCGCGGUAAUACGGAGGGUGCGAGCGUUGUCCGGAUUUAUUGGGUUUACAGGGUGCGUAGGCUGGAAGGUCAGUCAGCGGUGAAAAGCUAUCGCUUAACGAUAGUCUUGCCGCAGAUACUUCCUUUCUUGGAUGAGGAGGAGGCCACUGGAACGGAUGGUGUAGCGGUGAAAUGCAUAGAUAUCAUCCAGAACACCGAUUGCGAAGGCAGGUGGCUGUACCUUAAUCGACGCUGAUGCACGAAAGCAUGGGGAGCAAACAGGAUUAGAAACCCGGGUAGUCC